AACUAACGCUGGCGGCGUGCCUAAUACAUGCAAGUCGAACGGGGAAGUGUAGCAAUACAUUGUACUAGUGGCGCACGGGUGAGUAAUACAUAGAUAAUCUACCCUUCAGUGGGGAAUAACCAGUCGAAAGAUUGGCUAAUACCGCAUGAGACCACAGGAACUUCGGUUCUAGGGGUUAAAGUCGAAAGACGCUGAUUGAUGAGUCUAUGCAAGAUUAGCUUGUUGGUAGGGUAAAAGCCUACCAAGGCGAUGAUCUUUAGCUGGUCUGGGAGGAUGAUCAGCCACACUGGAAAUGAGACACGGUCCAGACUCCUACGGGAGGCAGCAGUAGGGAAUAUUGCACAAUGGGGGAAACCCUGAUGCAGCAACGCCGCGUGAGUGAUGAAGGCCUUCGGGUCGUAAAGCUCUGUCGCAAGGGAUGAUAAUGACAGUACCGGGAGAAUAAGCUCCGGCUAACUCCGUGCCAGCCGCCGCCGUAA
This 479-nucleotide ribosomal RNA is filed under the name uncultured bacterium. RNAcentral describes it as "partial 16S ribosomal RNA". It matches the Rfam family "Bacterial small subunit ribosomal RNA", at positions 29 to 523 of the family's 1533-position model. The record is from RNAcentral.